This 253-nucleotide ribosomal RNA is filed under the name uncultured bacterium. Its description in RNAcentral is "partial 16S ribosomal RNA". It matches the Rfam family "Bacterial small subunit ribosomal RNA", at positions 524 to 776 of the family's 1533-position model. The record is from RNAcentral.
UACGAAGGGGGCGAGCGUUGUUCGGAUUUACUGGGCGUAAAGGGCGCGCAGGCGGUCUUGCAAGUCAGGCGUGAAAGCCCCGGGCUUAACCUGGGAAUUGCGCUUGAUACUCUGAGACUGGAGUACGGGAGAGGAGAGUGGAGUUCCCAGUGUAGAGGUGAAAUUCGUAGAUAUUGGGAAGAACACCAGUGGCGAAGGCGGCUCUCUGGACCGUAGCUGACGCUGAGGCGCGAAAGCGUGGGGAGCGAACAGG